GAAGGGUGCAAGCGUUACUCGGAAUUACUGGGCGUAAAGCGUGCGUAGGUGGUGAGUUAAGUCUGUCGUGAAAGCCCCGGGCUCAACCUGGGAAUGGCGAUGGAUACUGGCUCGCUAGAGUGCGGUAGAGGAGAGUGGAAUUCCCGGUGUAGCAGUGAAAUGCGUAGAGAUCGGGAGGAACAUCAGUUGCGAAGGCGGCUCACUGGACCAGCACUGACACUGAGGCACGAAAGCGUGGGGAGCAAACAGGAUUAGAUACCCUGGUAGUCCACGCCCUAAACGAUGCGAACUGGACGUUGGGAGCAAUCAGGCUCUCAGUGUCGAAGCUAACGCGUUAAGUUCGCCGCCUGGGGAGUACGGUCGCAAGACUG
RNAcentral lists this ribosomal RNA (371 nucleotides) under uncultured bacterium. RNAcentral's name for it is "bacterial SSU rRNA". It matches the Rfam family "Bacterial small subunit ribosomal RNA", at positions 527 to 896 of the family's 1533-position model. The record is from RNAcentral.